AAUUUGUUAAUGUUUGGCCUCUGCCCCGGGAGGGCCCUGCCAGGAGCUUUAGGAUAAAACAACUCAGCAGAGCUCUAGGCAAGAGUUGACGAGACCUUCUCAAGAGCCACUGGUUCUGCCAAGGACCUCCUCCCUGCCUAGCAUGUGAAGCACUAAGUGUGAGGACAACUAAUUUUCAAAAUGAAGGCCUGGUGGCAUUUUUUUAGAGCCCCACAGACGUGAAAGCUCCUGCGUCCUUCAGAGUCCCAGCAGGAAGAAGCUGGUCCAUUCCAAAGGGCAAUGGAUGCCUGUCUGGGCUGCCAAGAAAGCACCCCGAGCAGAUCAUAUUCUCUGUCUUAAAGGGCUCAGUUGAGAAGAACAUGAAGAUAUCACUGUCUGUAGGGGAAAGAAAAGUAUAUAACUUUCAUACAAUUGAGGAAGGCCAUAUUUAUCAUGAAGAAAUAACUCACUUUGGAAGACAGUAAAAGAACUGCCAGCCCUGACUAUUUACAGAAGAUCAUUAUAUUUUUAUCGGUCUUAACAUAUCUGCUGAAUCAGCAAAGCCAAGAGUUCCAGCAAUUUCACUGAUUAUAGCUGCAUCUUUUGGAUAUUGCAAGCAACUAUUACCAAACCACUUGGGAGUGGGGGAGGGAAGACGCUGUGCGUUUUAAAGGAGAAUAAAUACAGUAGAAGGUUUUUCAAAUAUUGAUGUUAUAAGCUGUAAUAAAAUGGCGCUCUAAGGCAGCCCCAACUCCCUCAAAGUCCCUCAAACACAAUACUUCCCCAAGUGAAUUUUCAAUGCUAUUUUAACUUCAAAACCAGAAGGCAAGAGUUGGAAGGGGCAUCCUUGGAGGAAAAGCCUCCUCAUACCAUCUCCUCUCUUAAAUGCUGUUUCACUCAGGGGUCCUUCAGCCUUCUCCAGAGUAUCCCUUGUCCGCAUUAGUUUCCCACGCCCAGCUUGUGGGUCUGUUCCAUUUCAGCUAUGAAGAUCACGUCCCUUCUCAAUGAAUGCUCCUACUCUGCACAUUAAAUAACCCAUCUUGCCCUGAGAAGCCUCAGCAUCACUUACCUUUUUGUAUCGAACUACCAAAGACUUCACAUUGACUUUUUAAACCUUUUUUUCACAUUUAUUUUUUAUUUCACCCCAAUUUUGGGCUGGCCACUUCUUGGGAUUAUGUAUUCUUCUCACAUAGGCUAAUAUUAAGCUCUUACUAAAUGGAGCUGUUGUAGCAGGCAGGAUUUGAUUUGAUUUAUUGUAGACACAAAUACACAGCAUAAUUAGCUCGAUAGCUGCAGGGUUCAACUCCUCAGGUUCCCCUUUAAGUUUGGGCUGGGAAAAGGGGGCAUGCUCUGGCGUAGCAGAGGAAAAACCUGCCUUGGCUUUCUUCUCACGGACUCUUUCUCUCAGACAGGAUUUAUCUAUAGGUUUAAUAAUGGAGGGGGUUCCGGCAGGCAAUCU
RNAcentral lists this long non-coding RNA (1438 nucleotides) under Equus caballus (horse). RNAcentral's name for it is "lncRNA (ENSECAG00000048895.1)". The record is from RNAcentral. Lineage: Eukaryota; Metazoa; Chordata; Mammalia; Perissodactyla; Equidae.